AGAGUUUGAUCCUGGCUCAGAUUGAACGCUGGCGGCAUGCCUUACACAUGCAAGUCGAACGGCAGCAUGGAGAGCUUGCUCUCUGAUGGCGAGUGGCGAACGGGUGAGUAAUACAUCGGAACGUGUCCGUUUGUGGGGGACAACCGUCCGAAAGGAUGGCUAAUACCGCAUAAGACCUGAGGGUGAAAGCCGGGGACCGCAAGGCCCGGCGCAGACGGAGCGGCCGAUGAUUGAUUAGCUAGUUGGGGAGGUAAAGGCUCACCAAGGCGACGAUCAAUAGCUGGUCUGAGAGGACGACCAGCCACACUGGAACUGAGACACGGUCCAGACUCCUACGGGAGGCAGCAGUGGGGAAUUUUGGACAAUGGGGGCAACCCUGAUCCAGCCAUGCCGCGUGCGGGAAGAAGGCCUUCGGGUUGUAAACCGCUUUUGUCAGGGACGAAAAGCUCCGGAGUAAUAUGCCGGAGUGCUGACGGUACCUGAAGAAUAAGCACCGGCUAACUACGUGCCAGCAGCCGCGGUAAUACGUAGGGUGCAAGCGUUAAUCGGAAUUACUGGGCGUAAAGCGUGCGCAGGCGGUUGGGUAAGACAGAUGUGAAAUCCCCGGGCUUAACCUGGGAACUGCAUUUGUGACUGUCCGACUGGAGUACGUCAGAGGGGGGUGGAAUUCCACGUGUAGCAGUGAAAUGCGUAGAUAUGUGGAAGAACACCGAUGGCGAAGGCAGCCCCCUGGGACGCAACUGACGCUCAUGCACGAAAGCGUGGGGAGCAAACAGGAUUAGAUACCCUGGUAGUCCACGCCCUAAACGAUGUCUGCUGGUUGUUGGGAAUUUAAUUCUCAGUAACGAAGCCAACGCGUGAAGCAGACCGCCUGGGGAGUACGGUCGCAAGAUUAAAA
RNAcentral lists this ribosomal RNA (898 nucleotides) under human gut metagenome. RNAcentral describes it as "bacterial SSU rRNA". It matches the Rfam family "Bacterial small subunit ribosomal RNA", at positions 8 to 899 of the family's 1533-position model. The record is from RNAcentral.